Molecule: long non-coding RNA, 1513 nt
Organism: Macrobrachium nipponense
Lineage: Eukaryota; Metazoa; Arthropoda; Malacostraca; Decapoda; Palaemonidae
Exons: 3
Source: RefSeq, a predicted model, not a curated record
ACAAGAACCACUCACUCUACUGGUAACAAAUGAAAUGGAUAUUUGUGAACUUCUUCGUGCAAGAAGUACGUAAAAGAAGGUUCCAGGACGAACGAACUUAUAACAACAUAAGUGUUCCACAUCGUUUUAAACUUUUAAUGACUGAAGCACAUCUCCAGUGCCACCGGUGUUUUAUUAGUGCGGACCUGCAUGGACAUUUUUCGCCAAAGGAUUUUUCUUGCGUUUGAUGUCUGCAUCUUUGAUAUAAUCUUACGAUGAACGAAGAACAGGGCGAUUUGAAUAAAAAGGACUUUCUGAAGAAGGAAGAAAGUACAACCGAAGAUGAGGUCACGUCGUUAAGAUAUAGAAUACUUUACGCUUUCUUCUUGGGAUUUCUCUACUAUAUGUGGCUGAAGAUUAACAUGCAUCACGACAGAUUUGCAGCUCUAUAUGAGGAGCAUCAAAGAAAAUCUCUUGAACGUCUCGAUUUCAACCAAUUCCGGAGCCAGUACCCUGUUGCCGCAGCCGCGCUAAUGGAAGGGUGGGAUUCGGAAGUUGAAUUCAGCGAGCCUGAGGUUUAUGGAGUACAAGAAGUUGAAUGUAAAGAUAAGAAGGAUCGCAGGAACCGCAGAUGAAGAAGCAGACUUCAUAAGAUGGAAUUUUAACAUGCUUAGUUUUAGUCAUCGAGAUAAACGCACGCGCUUGUACUUCAGUUUUUUAUCCCAAUACGAUUCUAAAAUUUCGUAAAAACAUUGCUCUGAUUUCUGUAUAUCAUUCAGAAUGUAUUUUUAUAUGGUAUUUGCAAUUUUUUUUAUUAACGAGGGCAUCUUAGUUUUAUUGUUGAUCACUUUUAAGUACCGCUUCAUCUCAAGAGCUGUAGAGUCUGAUUUCCUCACAUUUUGAACUAACGUUUGCAUACAGAGCUUUGCUAUUUUCAAUCGUGUGAUAAAAAUUAAUUUUUACUCCAUAAACGCUCUGCUACUGUUUUUAUACGAAUUUUAUUUUAUACUUUCAUCAACUGAUUUCUAGGUUCUAUUUUGUUACUUAACUUCUAUUUUCUUUUUUUCUCGUCUUUGCGUAUUAAAUCUACCUUAAAUCGCAUAUACGCAGUUCACGGUUUGUUUAUUAUUCAAAGGUAUUCCAAAUGUCAAAGACGUUAAGAUGUUAUUUUAAGGCGAUAAGAGUUAUUCUUAUACCUUUAAAAACAUCUUAUGCAUCUUUGUUUCUUCCACUAAUUCCCAUCCAGUCUCCUCCGCAAAGUUGUGUUUUGAAAUCCGCGAGGCCCAACGUUCCUCUGUCAUAGUUGUCUCGGCCAGUUAUAAAUCAUAAAUCCAAUGUCUGGUUUAAAGGGUACGGAAACCAAAAUUAUACUUUCCUUCUCUGUGAAUUUUGAUACUACAAUCAUAUUUCAAAAGGUGACAUAUGUGUAUAUAUAUUUUUAUGUAAGAACAAACGAAUUUGAAAUAGUUUUUACGCUGAUCUGCCUGAGAUCUCAUAAAUUCAUUUACAAGUUUUGCAGCUUCGUUUUAAUUCU